Molecule: transfer RNA, 75 nt
Filed under: Streptococcus pneumoniae
Lineage: Bacteria; Bacillati; Bacillota; Bacilli; Lactobacillales; Streptococcaceae
Also listed under: 35 other names
Description: tRNA-Glu(ttc)
Rfam family: tRNA
About the family: Transfer RNA (tRNA) molecules are approximately 80 nucleotides in length. Their secondary structure includes four short double-helical elements and three loops (D, anti-codon, and T loops).
Source: RNAcentral
UGGCCCGUUGGUCAAGUGGUUAAGACACCGCCCUUUCACGGCGGUAACACGGGUUCGAAUCCCGUACGGGUCAUC